Long non-coding RNA from Etheostoma spectabile (orangethroat darter), 117 nucleotides. RefSeq lists it as uncharacterized. The transcript has 4 exons. The record is from RefSeq and is a predicted model, not a curated record. Lineage: Eukaryota; Metazoa; Chordata; Actinopteri; Perciformes; Percidae.
GCAUUUAAAAAAAACUUCAAUAUAAGACAGAUUCCAUAGGGCUCUACAUUAAGUCAGUGCUAAAAGCUAACUGGAGAUUUGAAAAUAUGACUACGUCAAGCUAUAUAUAUUUUGAAA